UUGAUUUGUGGGUAAAGUGGAGGCGCCUUCUAUUCUAAACGAAAUUCACAUAAGUUUGUCAUUCUCUCAUUCACGUCUCUCUCUCAUUAACGAAGUGUAUGAAAAACACUCUCCACAGAGAAAGCUCUCUCUCAUUCACGAAGCCUCUCAGAAACGACAUCCACAGAAGAAAGCGUUUUCUCAUUCACGAUCUCCACAGAAAAAAGGUCUCUGUCAGUGACGAAGCCUCUCCUCUUAGUAACGAUCUCUCUCAAAACGCAUCAAUCCCUCUGAAAAAAGUUUUUUUAAUAUAAGGUAUAUCUGUAUCCACCGUUUGAAGUCGUUGAUGGAAGUGUGGCUUUUUGGGCAACCGUCGAAUGGAGAGGUUUCGAACGGAGAGCUGUUUUCGAUUUCUUUAUUGUGCCUUUAUUUGUUUUCUUCAUUGCCAUUAUUGUGCGAUUUUUUGCGUUUAGGUUUUGGGGCCGGUGGUUCAGAAGUCCGAAAGGUUAGGUUUUUUUGGCUGUUGCCGUUGGGGAUUUCGUUAUUUGGUGCGGUGGUGUGUAUCUGUGCAUUGUGUUUUUGUUUUUCAUCUGAAAGAUAAAACGUAUUUUCACACUUUUUAGGUAGUUUUGUUAUUUGACAUUUGAUCACUGCAUCGUGCUUUGGUUAUUUGACAUUUGAUAUCUGUUAUAACCCAAUUUCUCAUUUGAUAUGUGCUAUUUUAGGUUAGUGUUUGAUGUACGAUAUUAGUACAUCUGAAAAUGGUGCCGUGUACGAUAUUAGCUAUUAUAAUAUGGGAUGGAGAGGAGAAAUUUGAUGGCAAGAGCAUGUCUGACUACACAAAUGAGGAGUUAGCUGGUUUUAGAAUGAAGUUUAUAUGGGACUGGAUAAUGGAUGAGGACAACGUCAGAAGAAUUGAAACGCUUCACGAUCUUGGAUUGAUUUAGCUCUAGGAAUAUACUGUUGUUUUGGUUCACAUUGUAAUUUACUUUGAAAACAUUAGACAUUGAUUAGAAUUGUGGGAAAUUGUACAUUAUAUUGAAUGUAUACCGCUUAUGUGUUAUUUAAUUAGUAUUGUUCAAA
Long non-coding RNA from Vigna radiata var. radiata (mung bean), 1062 nucleotides. RefSeq lists it as uncharacterized. Lineage: Eukaryota; Viridiplantae; Streptophyta; Magnoliopsida; Fabales; Fabaceae. The record is from RefSeq and is a predicted model, not a curated record. The transcript is spliced from 2 exons.